AUUGAACGCUGGCGGCAUGCCUUACACAUGCAAGUCGAGCGGCAGCGCGGGGGCGAACCCUGGCGGCGAGCGGCGAACGGGUGAGUAAUGCAUCGGAACGUGUCCUCUUGUGGGGGAGUAACCAGUCGAAAGACUGGCUAAUACCGCAUGAGAUCGAGAGAUGAAAGCGGGGACCGCAAGGCCUCGCGCGAGAGGAGCGGCCGAUGCCCGAUUAGCUAGUUGGUGGGGUAAUGGCCUACCAAGGCGACGAUCGGUAGCUGGUCUGAGAGGACGACCAGCCACACUGGGACUGAGACACGGCCCAGACUCCUAC
Molecule: ribosomal RNA, 313 nt
Filed under: uncultured bacterium
Lineage: Bacteria
Description: bacterial SSU rRNA
Rfam family: Bacterial small subunit ribosomal RNA
Source: RNAcentral